GACGAACGCUGGCGGCGUGUCUAAUACAUGCAAGUAGAACGCAGUUGCGAAUGGGUGAGUAACGCGUAGGUAACCAGCCUCAUAGCGGGGGAUAACUAUUGGAAACGAUAGAUAAUACGGCAUAACGUGAGAGGGACCUGCGUUGUAUUAGCUAGUUGGUGAGGUAAAGGCUCACCAAGGCGACGCUACCUAGCCGACCUGAGAGGGUGAUCGGCCACACUGGGACUGAUACACGGCCCAGACUCCUACGGGAGUCAGCAGUAGGGACUCUUCGGCCAUGGACGGAAGUCUGACCGAGCAACGCCGCGUUAGUGAAGAAGGUUUUCGUAUCGUAAAGCUCUGUUGUUAGGGAAGCGGGAACUAACCAGAAAGGGACGGCGAACUACGUGCCAGCAGCCGCGGUAAUAC
Molecule: ribosomal RNA, 408 nt
Filed under: uncultured bacterium
Lineage: Bacteria
Description: partial 16S ribosomal RNA
Rfam family: Bacterial small subunit ribosomal RNA
Source: RNAcentral